GUAGCCUUCCUCCUCCUCCUCCUCAUCCUUUCCUCAUCCUUUCCCCUUCCUCCUCCUCCUUCCUCCUCAUCCUUAUCCUCUCCUCCUCCUCUCCCGUAGCCUUCCUCCUCAUCCUUAUCCUCCCCUCAUUGAAAUUCUUAGCACUUGAUCGUAUGGGAGAACCAUGGCCUGAAGCUCAGAAGGUUGAGAUGCACUAGAUGUAGCAACAAAAGGAGAUGGGGUAGGUGAAGUCGGAGGUCUCGCAAUCCUCAUUUUCCAACCCCAUGUUUUCGAUACAUGAUGAAUACCCCAUGUUAUCGAUGUGCGCACGUACGAUAAGUGUACUGGGAACAUGUUCAUUUUGCGGGCAGCAAUUAUGUGGACUGUGAACGAUUUUCCCGCAUAUGCAAUGGUUUAUGGGUGGAGCACUAGGGGUUAUAUGGCAUGCGUUGUAUGCAAUGAUGAUGUAACAUCUAGCUGGCACGCUAGGAAAGUUUGUUACCUUGGUCAUCGGAGAUGGUUGCCAUGGGACCACGAGUGGCGGGAAAAUGAUAAAAAGUUUGACGGGAAAACAGAGCAUCACCUCAGACCUAGAAAAUUAAGAUCAAAAUUGUCAAUGAAUUUGUUUUGAUUUUGAUGAAUUAAAUUGAAUUUGUAAUUCUUAAUGUUCGUUGGAGAACCUCUUAGUACAUAAACCCAAGUUGGAAAUAG
This 690-nucleotide small RNA is filed under the name Malus domestica (apple). Its description in RNAcentral is "sRNA MD12G0184400". Lineage: Eukaryota; Viridiplantae; Streptophyta; Magnoliopsida; Rosales; Rosaceae. The record is from RNAcentral.